This 358-nucleotide transfer RNA is filed under the name uncultured Microcystis sp. Its description in RNAcentral is "partial 16S-23S ribosomal RNA intergenic spacer". The stretch from base 133 to 206 matches the Rfam family "tRNA". Lineage: Bacteria; Bacillati; Cyanobacteriota; Cyanophyceae; Chroococcales; Microcystaceae. The record is from RNAcentral.
AAGGGAGACCUAAUUCCGGUAGGAGACGAAAAAAAAGUAGUCCCAACCAAGAAUCAAUCCCAAAAGGUCGGAACGAGGUAUGAGGCUUUCAAACUAGGUUCUGGGUUCAUAAAAGACCUGAAUCAGGAACAAGGGCUAUUAGCUCAGGUGGUUAGAGCGCACCCCUGAUAAGGGUGAGGUCCCUGGUUCGAGUCCAGGAUGGCCCGCCUGCACAGGUGGCAAAAACAAGAGAAGCUCCGAAUCAGCACCUUAUCUUAUAUACAUAUAUAAGAGAGAAUGCUGGCUCUGAGUACAGAGUCCAGAGGAACCUUGAAAACUGCAUAGAGCUAGGUGAAAAAGCCAAAAAAGAAGACCGCAA